Molecule: ribosomal RNA, 730 nt
Filed under: uncultured bacterium
Lineage: Bacteria
Description: SSU rRNA
Rfam family: Bacterial small subunit ribosomal RNA
Source: RNAcentral
AUUCCCGGUGUAGCGGUGAAAUGCGUAGAUAUCGGGAAGAACACCAGUGGCGAAGGCGCUCUGCUGGGCCAUCACUGACGCUCAUGGACGAAAGCCAGGGGAGCGAAAGGGAUUAGAUACCCCUGUAGUCCUGGCCGUAAACGAUGAACACUAGGUGUCGGGGGAAUCGACCCCCUCGGUGUCGUAGCCAACGCGUUAAGUGUUCCGCCUGGGGAGUACGCACGCAAGUGUGAAACUCAAAGGAAUUGACGGGGGCCCGCACAAGCGGUGGAGUAUGUGGUUUAAUUCGAUGCAACGCGAAGAACCUUACCAGGGUUUGACAUCCUGCGAAUCUCUUGGAAACGAGAGAGUGCCUUCGGGAACGCAGUGACAGGUGGUGCAUGGCUGUCGUCAGCUCGUGUCGUGAGAUGUUGGGUUAAGUCCCGCAACGAGCGCAACCCACGUCUUUAGUUGCCAGCAUUUAGUUGGGCACUCUAGAGAGACCGCCGGUGAUAAACCGGAGGAAGGUGUGGAUGACGUCAAGUCAUCAUGCCCCUUACAUCCUGGGCUACACACGUACUACAAUGCUACGGACAAAGGGCAGCAAGUUCGCGAGGACAAGCAAAUCCCAUAAACCGUGGCUCAGUUCAGAUCGUAGGCUGCAACUCGCCUACGUGAAGGAGGAAUCGCUAGUAAUCGCAGGUCAGCAUACUGCGGUGAAUACGUUCCCGGCCCUUGCACACACCGCCCG